GAUGAAGAACGUAGCGAAAUGCGAUAAGUAAUGUGAAUUGCAGAAUUCAGUGAAUCAUCGAAUCUUUGAACGCACAUUGCGCCCCCUGGUAUUCCGGGGGGCAUGCCUGUCCGAGCGUCAUUGCUGCCCUCAAGCCCGGCUUGUGUGUUGGGUCUCGUCCCCCUUCCCGGGGGGACGGGCCCGAAAGGCAGCGGCGGCACCGUGUCCGGUCCUCGAGCGUAUGGGGCUUUGUCACCCGCUCUGUAGGCCCGGCCGGCGCUUGCCGAUCAACCAAAACUUUUUUCCAGGUUGACCUCGGAUCAGGUAGGGAUACCCGCUGAACUUAAGCAUAUAAUAAGCGGAGGA
This 345-nucleotide unclassified non-coding RNA is filed under the name soil metagenome. Its description in RNAcentral is "partial contains 5.8S ribosomal RNA, internal transcribed spacer 2, and large subunit ribosomal RNA". The stretch from base 1 to 120 matches the Rfam family "5.8S ribosomal RNA", at positions 35 to 154 of the family's 154-position model. The record is from RNAcentral.